RNAcentral lists this ribosomal RNA (1248 nucleotides) under metagenome. RNAcentral's name for it is "SSU rRNA". It matches the Rfam family "Eukaryotic small subunit ribosomal RNA", at positions 105 to 1321 of the family's 1831-position model. The record is from RNAcentral.
AACAGUUUGAAUUUAUUUGAUGAAUGUAUGAGAUACUACUUGGAUAACCGUAGUAAUUCUAGAGCUAAUACACGCAACGACGCCCGACCGUUUCACUACGGAAGGGCUGUAUUUAUUGGAUACCAAAACCAUCCUUCCCUCGGGAAGUUUUGUUUCAUGAUUCACAAUAACUGAUCGGAUCGCCACUGUGGUGGCGACAGGUCACUCAACAUUCUGCCCUAUCAGCUUUCGAUGGUUGUGUAGUGGACAACCAUGGCCAUAACGGGUAACGGAGAAUCAGGGUUCGAUUCCGGAGAAGGAGCUUGAGAAUUGGCUACUACAUCUAAGGAAGGCAGCAGGCGCGCAAAUUACCCAAUCCCGAUUCGGGGAGGUAGUGACAAAAAUAACAAUACCGGGCCUUUUUGGGCUUGGUAAUUGGAAUGAGGGAGAGUUAAACGGACCAUCGAGUAUCCAUUGGAGGGCAAGUCUGGUGCCAGCAGCUGCGGUAAUACCAGCUCCAAUAGCGUAUAUUAAAGUUGUUGCAGUUAAAAAGCUCGUAGUUGGACUUGUGUGCGCUGUCCGCGGGUGGCCUGCGCCCAAAAGGGCGUUUCGGUUCGGCCCCGGUGGCGCCUUGAAAUCUGCAGCUGGGGGGACGUUGGCCUUAACUGGUCGGCGACCGCACGCCGGCUGCUCGGUUACUGUGAGAAAAUUAGAGUGUUCAAGGCAGGCAUUGGGUGCAAUUGCAUACAUUAGCAUGGAAUAAUAAAAUAUGGCUCCUGCCGUAUUUUGUUGGUUUUGACUGGUGGGAGUAAUGAUUGAUAGGGACGGUUGGGGGUGCUAGUAUUGAGCGGCCAGAGGUGAAAUUCAUGGAUUCGCUCAAGACUAACUUAUGCGAAAGCAUUCACCAAGGACGUCCUCUUUAAUCAAGAACGAAAGUUGGGGGAUCGAAGACGAUCAGAUACCGUCGUAGUCUCAACCAUAAACUAUGUCGACUUGGGAUCGGCGGUAGUUUUUUCAUUAAGACACUGUCGGGACCACGGGAGAAAUCAAAGUGUCUGGACUCUGGGGGAAGUAUGGUCGCAAGGCUGAAACUUGAAGGAAUUGACGGAAGGGCACCACCAGGAGUGGAGCCUGCGGCUUAAUUUGACACAACACGGGGAAACUUACCAGGUCCAGAGAUGUAGAGGAUUGACAGAUUGAAGCUCUUUCUUGAUCACUUCGGUGGUGGUGCAUGGCCGUUCUUAGUUGGUGGAGUGAUUUGUCUGGUUA